Molecule: ribosomal RNA, 314 nt
Filed under: uncultured bacterium
Lineage: Bacteria
Description: bacterial SSU rRNA
Rfam family: Bacterial small subunit ribosomal RNA
Source: RNAcentral
ACUCCGUAGCGGGAGGCAGCAGGUAGGGAAUAUUGCACGAAUGGGCGCAAGCCUGAUGCAGCCAUGCCGCGUGUGUGAAGAAGGCCUUCGGGUUGUAAAGCACUUUCAGUCGUGAGGAAGGUAGUGUAGUUAAUAGCUGCAUUAUUUGACGUUAGCGACAGAAGAAGCACCGGCUAACUCCGUGCCAGCAGCCGCGGUAAUACGGAGGGUGCGAGCGUUAAUCGGAAUUACUGGGCGUAAAGCGCAUGCAGGUGGUUUGUUAAGUCAGAUGUGAAAGCCCGGGGCUCAACCUCGGAAUUGCAUUUGAAACUGGC